AUUGAACGCUGGCGGCAUGCCUUACACAUGCAAGUCGAACGGUAGGGGGAGCAAUCCCCCGAGAGUGGCGAACGGGUGAGUAAUACAUCGGAACGUGCCCAGUCGUGGGGGAUAACGUAGCGAAAGCUACGCUAAUACCGCAUACGACCCGAGGGUGAAAGCGGGGGACUCGCAAGAGCCUCGCGCGAUUGGAGCGGCCGAUGGCAGAUUAGGUAGUUGGUGGGGUAAAGGCCCACCAAGCCUGCGAUCUGUAGCUGGUCUGAGAGGACGACCAGCCACACUGGGACUGAGACACGGCCCAGACUCCUACGGGAGGCAGCAGUGGGGAAUUUUGGACAAUGGGCGAAAGCCUGAUCCAGCCAUACCGCGUGCGGGAAGAAGGCCUUCGGGUUGUAAACCGCUUUUGUCAGGGAAGAAAUACUUCGGGCUAAUACCCUGGGGUGAUGACGGUACCUGAAGAAUAAGCACCGGCUAACUACGUG
This 482-nucleotide ribosomal RNA is filed under the name uncultured bacterium. RNAcentral's name for it is "bacterial SSU rRNA". It matches the Rfam family "Bacterial small subunit ribosomal RNA", at positions 29 to 507 of the family's 1533-position model. The record is from RNAcentral.